This 427-nucleotide ribosomal RNA is filed under the name uncultured Geovibrio sp. RNAcentral's name for it is "bacterial SSU rRNA". It matches the Rfam family "Bacterial small subunit ribosomal RNA", at positions 355 to 774 of the family's 1533-position model. Lineage: Bacteria; Pseudomonadati; Deferribacterota; Deferribacteres; Deferribacterales; Geovibrionaceae. The record is from RNAcentral.
UGGGGAAUUUUGCGCAAUGACCGAAAGGUUGACGCAGCAACGCCGCGUGUAUGAUGAAGGCUUUCGGGUCGUAAAGUACUUUCAGUGGGGAAGAAUUGCAUAAUCAGUAACUGGGUUAUGAUUGACGGUACCCACAGAAGCAGCCCCGGCUAACUCCGUGCCAGCAGCCGCGGUAAUACGGAGGGGGCAAGCGUUGUUCGGAGUCACUGGGCGUAAAGAGCUCGUAGGCGGCAGUGUAAGUCGGGAGUUAAAGGCAACAGCUCAACUGUUGUAAGGCUUUUGAAACUACAUUGCUAGAGUGCCAGAGAGGUAUGCGGAAUUCCCUGUGUAGCGGUGAGAUGCGUAGAUAUAGGGAGGAACACCGGUUGCGAAGGCGGCAUACUGGCUGGUAACUGACGCUGAGGAGCGAAAGCGUGGGUAGCAAACA